AACAAAAACAUGUCUUUUUGAUUAUAAUUUAAAGUCUAACCUGCCCAAUGAAUAAUUUGAAUGGCCGCGGUAUUUUGACCGUGCUAAGGUAGCAUAAUAAUUAGUUUUUUAAUUGAAAACUGGUAUGAAUGGUUGAACGAGGAAAAAUCUGUCUCAAUUUAAUUUAAUUAGAAUUUUAUUUUUAAGUAAAAAAGCUUAAAUAAUUUUAAAAGACGAGAAGACCCUAUAGAGUUUUAUAAUUAAUUAUUAAUUAGAUUAUUAGGAUUAUUUUUUUAAUUUUUAAUUGAUUAUUUUGUUGGGGUGACAAAAAAAUUUAAUAAACUUUUUUUAUAUAUUUUCAUUGAUUUAUGAAUAAAUGAUCCAUUUUUUAUGAUUAUAAGAUUAAAUUACCUUAGGGAUAACAGCGUAAUUUUUUUUAAGAGUUCUAUCGA
Molecule: ribosomal RNA, 431 nt
Filed under: Trox gemmulatus
Lineage: Eukaryota; Metazoa; Arthropoda; Insecta; Coleoptera; Trogidae
Description: partial 16S ribosomal RNA
Rfam family: Archaeal large subunit ribosomal RNA (bases 1-155)
Source: RNAcentral